This is a long non-coding RNA of Symphalangus syndactylus (siamang), 399 nucleotides long. RefSeq lists it as uncharacterized. Lineage: Eukaryota; Metazoa; Chordata; Mammalia; Primates; Hylobatidae. The record is from RefSeq and is a predicted model, not a curated record.
CACAAGGUCAGGAGAUAGAGACCAUUCUGGCUAACACGGUGAAACCCCAUCUCUACUAAAAAUACAAAAAAUUACCUGGGCGUGGUGGCGGGCGCCUGUAGUCCCAGCUGCUCCGGAGGCUGAGGCGGGAGAAUGACGUGAACCCGGGGGGCGGAGCUUGCAGUGAGCCGAGAUCGCGCCUCAGCACUCCAGCCUGGGCGACAGAGGGAGACUCCGUCUCAAAAAUAAAACUAAAAUAUAUUUAAAAAAAACAUUUUCAUGGGUGAAAAAAAUUUGGCCUGUUAUGCCUUCUGUACUCUCAUGUUAAAGCACUGAUGAAAACAAACUGCCAGAAACAAAAGAUUCUAAGGAACUGCUCUUUGGCUGAAAUCCAUCACUGUAUGCAGUGCUACAUUUGAC